UGGGCGGCGUGCCUAAUACAUGCAAGUCGAGCGGACAGAUGGGAGCUUGCUCCCUGAUGUUAGCGGCGGACGGGUGAGUAACACGUGGGUAACCUGCCUGUAAGACUGGGAUAACUCCGGGAAACCGGGGCUAAUACCGGAUGCUUGUUUGAACCGCAUGGUUCAAACAUAAAAGGUGGCUUCGGCUACCACUUACAGAUGGACCCGCGGCGCAUUAGCUAGUUGGUGAGGUAAUGGCUCACCAAGGCAACGAUGCGUAGCCGACCUGAGAGGGUGAUCGGCCACACUGGGACUGAGACACGGCCCAGACUCCUACGGGAGGCAGCAGUAGGGAAUCUUCCGCAAUGGACGAAAGUCUGACGGAGCAACGCCGCGUGAGUGAUGAAGGUUUUCGGAUCGUAAAGCUCUGUUGUUAGGGAAGAACAAGUGCCGUUCAAAUAGGGCGGCACCUUGACGGUACCUAACCAGAAAGCCACGGCUAACUACGUGCCAGCAGCCGCGGUAAUACGUAGGUGGCAAGCGUUGUCCGGAAUUAUUGGGCGUAAAGGGCUCGCAGGCGGUUUCUUAAGUCUGAUGUGAAAGCCCCCGGCUCAACCGGGGAGGGUCAUUGGAAACUGGGGAACUUGAGUGCAGAAGAGGAGAGUGGAAUUCCACGUGUAGCGGUGAAAUGCGUAGAGAUGUGGAGGAACACCAGUGGCGAAGGCGACUCUCUGGUCUGUAACUGACGCUGAGGAGCGAAAGCGUGGGGAGCGAACAGGAUUAGAUACCCUGGUAGUCCACGCCGUAAACGAUGAGUGCUAAGUGUUAGGGGGUUUCCGCCCCUUAGUGCUGCAGCUAACGCAUUAAGCACUCCGCCUGGGGAGUACGGUCGCAAGACUGAAACUCAAAGGAAUUGACGGGGGCCCGCACAAGCGGUGGAGCAUGUGGUUUAAUUCGAAGCAACGCGAAGAACCUUACCAGGUCUUGACAUCCUCUGACACCCCUAGAGAUAGGGCUUCCCCUUCGGGGGCAGAGUGACAGGUGGUGCAUGGUUGUCGUCAGCUCGUGUCGUGAGAUGUUGGGUUAAGUCCCGCAACGAGCGCAACCCUUGAUCUUAGUUGCCAGCAUUCAGUUGGGCACUCUAAGGUGACUGCCGGUGACAAACCGGAGGAAGGUGGGGAUGACGUCAAAUCAUCAUGCCCCUUAUGACCUGGGCUACACACGUGCUACAAUGGACAGAACAAAGGGCAGCGAGACCGCGAGGUUAAGCCAAUCCCACAAAUCUGUUCUCAGUUCGGAUCGCAGUCUGCAACUCGACUGCGUGAAGCUGGAAUCGCUAGUAAUCGCGGAUCAGCAUGCCGCGG
Molecule: ribosomal RNA, 1343 nt
Filed under: bacterium KZ008
Lineage: Bacteria
Description: bacterial SSU rRNA
Rfam family: Bacterial small subunit ribosomal RNA
Source: RNAcentral